UAUAGUUUUUAAUGCUAGGGUAUUUGAGUUCCACUUCAAAUCAUCAUCAAGCAGAACCCCCAGGAGCUUAACUGUCUGAAGUACAGGCAAGGAUUGACCAGAGAUAUGGAGAUCGAUGUCUGGAAGAUGUUGACGACCAAAAUAAACU
This is a long non-coding RNA of Anneissia japonica, 148 nucleotides long. RefSeq lists it as uncharacterized. Lineage: Eukaryota; Metazoa; Echinodermata; Crinoidea; Comatulida; Comatulidae. The transcript is spliced from 3 exons. The record is from RefSeq and is a predicted model, not a curated record.